This is a long non-coding RNA of Hyla sarda, 685 nucleotides long. RefSeq lists it as uncharacterized. The transcript is spliced from 3 exons. The record is from RefSeq and is a predicted model, not a curated record. NCBI's taxonomy places the organism in Eukaryota, Metazoa, Chordata, Amphibia, Anura, Hylidae.
GCCACGAGUAAUUCGUGUCUGAAAUUGUCAGUCGGUCGGCCAUUUUUUCAGAGACCAUAAUCCAUUUUCCGACAUGAAAGUGUCACACACAAAAUGGACGGUACGAGGAGACACAACGGAAAUUCCGGUCUAUGUUGUGUCCUGUACUCACUACCCGCUCCCGAAUCCACAGGACCUGCUGCACCCACUAGACGUACAGUGGGACCCCCAGUGUGUGAGGGAAGAGGAGGUCAGCGCCAUCCUUCAGGCUUACUGGACAUCGCUGGCAGCUACACUACCACAGGACUGACGCCUUUAAAAUGAAUGGCAAAGAGCUCCAUAGAUUGAGGGCAGAGCUGAAAAGCGCUCGAGUGCGGGCAAACACCACGACCUGGAGCAAGCGCAAAGAGGCCAAUAAGCACAUUACAAAAAUAAAGUCAGAAAUUAACAUGAUUGGAAAAAAAAAAAAAGGAUGGACAUUCCGACCAAAAACUAAGUAACCAGGAGAGGUUUGAGGAGAUGAAGGGGUUAGGUGACCCUACAGCUGGAGCUGAUGAGGAUGGUGACCCCAUUAUGACCCAGGAUCCAUCACAGGGGUCUCAGAGCGGGAUCUGCCCCGGACAAGGACCUCCGGCCUCAGCGCCAGGAUCCUGGAGGAGCUCGGAGGAUGACAGCAUUGACGCCGGGGGGAGACUCAUGGCAGUUA